This 253-nucleotide ribosomal RNA is filed under the name uncultured bacterium. Its description in RNAcentral is "partial 16S ribosomal RNA". It matches the Rfam family "Bacterial small subunit ribosomal RNA", at positions 524 to 776 of the family's 1533-position model. The record is from RNAcentral.
UACGUAGGUGGCAAGCGUUGUCCGGAUUUAUUGGGUUUAAAGGGUGCGUAGGCGGUUCUAUAAGUCAGUGGUGAAAUCCGGCAGCUCAACUGUCGAUGUGCCAUUGAUACUGCAGAACUUGAGUACAGACGAGGUAGGCGGAAUUGACGGUGUAGCGGUGAAAUGCUUAGAUAUCGUCAAGAACACCGAUAGCGAAGGCAGCUUACUAGACUGUAACUGACGCUGAGGAGCGAAAGCGUGGGGAGCGAACAGG